Molecule: ribosomal RNA, 254 nt
Filed under: uncultured bacterium
Lineage: Bacteria
Description: partial 16S ribosomal RNA
Rfam family: Bacterial small subunit ribosomal RNA
Source: RNAcentral
UACGGAGGGUGCAAGCGUUAUCCGGAUUCACUGGGGUUAAAGGGCGCGUAGGCGGUCAGCACAAGUCAGUUGUGAAAUCUCCGGGCUUAACUCGGAAAGGUCAACUGAUACUGUGCGACUAGAGUGCGGAAGGGGCAACUGGAAUUCUCGGUGUAGCGGUGAAAUGCGUAGAUAUCGAGAGGAACACCUGCGGCGAAGGCGGGUUGCUGGGCCGACACUGACGCUGAUGCGCGAAAGCCAGGGGAGCGAACGGG